This 252-nucleotide ribosomal RNA is filed under the name uncultured bacterium. RNAcentral's name for it is "partial 16S ribosomal RNA". It matches the Rfam family "Bacterial small subunit ribosomal RNA", at positions 525 to 776 of the family's 1533-position model. The record is from RNAcentral.
ACGUAGGGUGCGAGCGUUAAUCGGAAUUACUGGGCGUAAAGAGUGCGCAGGCGGCUCUCUAAGACAGGUGUGAAAUCCCCGGGCUUAACCUGGGAAUGGCGCUUGUGACUGGAGAGCUAGAGUGUGGCAGAGGGGAAUGGAAUUCCUGGUGUAGCAGUGAAAUGCGUAGAUAUCAGGAGGAACACCAAUGGCGAAGGCAGUUCCCUGGGCCAACACUGACGCUCAUGCACGAAAGCGUGGGGAGCAAACAGG